RNAcentral lists this ribosomal RNA (575 nucleotides) under Saccharomyces cerevisiae (brewer's yeast). RNAcentral describes it as "eukaryotic LSU rRNA". It matches the Rfam family "Eukaryotic large subunit ribosomal RNA", at positions 77 to 664 of the family's 3401-position model. Lineage: Eukaryota; Fungi; Ascomycota; Saccharomycetes; Saccharomycetales; Saccharomycetaceae. The record is from RNAcentral.
AUCCUAGUACGGCGAGUGAGCGGCAAAAGCUCAAAUUUGAAAUCUGGUACCUUCGGUGCCCGAGCUUGUAAUUUGGAGAGGGCAACUUUGGGGCCGUUCCUUGUCUAUGUUCCUUGGAACAGGACGUCAUAGAGGGUGAGAAUCCCGUGUGGCGAGGAGUGCGGUUCUUUGUAAAGUGCCUUCGAAGAGUCGAGUUGUUUGGGAAUGCAGCUCUAAGUGGGUGGUAAAUUCCAUCUAAAGCUAAAUAUUGGCGAGAGACCGAUAGCGAACAAGUACAGUGAUGGAAAGAUGAAAAGAACUUUGAAAAGAGAGUGAAAAAGUACGUGAAAUUGUUGAAAGGGAAGGGCAUUUGAUCAGACAUGGUGUUUUGUGCCCUCUGCUCCUUGUGGGUAGGGGAAUCUCGCAUUUCACUGGGCCAGCAUCAGUUUUGGUGGCAGGAUAAAUCCAUAGGAAUGUAGCUUGCCUCGGUAAGUAUUAUAGCCUGUGGGAAUACUGCCAGCUGGGACUGAGGACUGCGACGUAAGUCAAGGAUGCUGGCAUAAUGGUUAUAUGCCGCCCGUCUUGAAACACGACCA